AGAGUUUGAUCAUGGCUCAGGAUGAACGCUAGCUACAGGCUUAACACAUGCAAGUCGAGGGGCAGCAUUGGAGUAGCAAUACUCAGAUGGCGACCGGCGCACGGGUGAGUAACACGUAUCCAACCUGCCGCUUACUCGGGGAUAGCCUUUCGAAAGAAAGAUUAAUACCCGAUGGUAUAAAGAGUUCGCAUGUUCUCUUUAUUAAAGAAUUUCGGUAAGCGAUGGGGAUGCGUUCCAUUAGAUUGUUGGCGGGGUAACGGCCCACCAAGUCUACGAUGGAUAGGGGUUCUGAGAGGAAGGUCCCCCACAUUGGAACUGAGACACGGUCCAAACUCCUACGGGAGGCAGCAGUGAGGAAUAUUGGUCAAUGGACGAGAGUCUGAACCAGCCAAAGUAGCGUGAAGGAUGACUGCCCUAUGGGUUGUAAACUUCUUUUAUAAGGGAAUAAAGUGAGGGACGUGUCCCUUUUUGUAUGUACCUUAUGAAUAAGGAUCGGCUAACUCCGUGCCAGCCGCCGC
Molecule: ribosomal RNA, 518 nt
Filed under: uncultured bacterium
Lineage: Bacteria
Description: bacterial SSU rRNA
Rfam family: Bacterial small subunit ribosomal RNA
Source: RNAcentral